RNAcentral lists this ribosomal RNA (907 nucleotides) under Massilia niastensis. Its description in RNAcentral is "bacterial SSU rRNA". It matches the Rfam family "Bacterial small subunit ribosomal RNA", at positions 75 to 980 of the family's 1533-position model. Lineage: Bacteria; Pseudomonadati; Pseudomonadota; Betaproteobacteria; Burkholderiales; Oxalobacteraceae. The record is from RNAcentral.
CGGGGCAAACUGGCGGCGAGUGGCGAACGGGUGAGUAAUAUAUCGGAACGUACCCAGAAGUGGGGGAUAACGUAGCGAAAGUUACGCUAAUACCGCAUACGAUCUACGGAUGAAAGUGGGGGACCUUCGGGCCUCAUGCUUUUGGAGCGGCCGAUAUCUGAUUAGCUAGUUGGUGAGGUAAAGGCUCACCAAGGCGACGAUCAGUAGCUGGUCUGAGAGGACGACCAGCCACACUGGAACUGAGACACGGUCCAGACUCCUACGGGAGGCAGCAGUGGGGAAUUUUGGACAAUGGGCGCAAGCCUGAUCCAGCAAUGCCGCGUGAGUGAAGAAGGCCUUCGGGUUGUAAAGCUCUUUUGUCAGGGAAGAAACGGUUCAGGCUAAUAUCCUGGGCUAAUGACGGUACCUGAAGAAUAAGCACCGGCUAACUACGUGCCAGCAGCCGCGGUAAUACGUAGGGUGCAAGCGUUAAUCGGAAUUACUGGGCGUAAAGCGUGCGCAGGCGGUUUUGUAAGUCUGACGUGAAAGCCCCGGGCUCAACCUGGGAAUUGCGUUGGAGACUGCAAGGCUUGAAUCUGGCAGAGGGGGGUAGAAUUCCACGUGUAGCAGUGAAAUGCGUAGAGAUGUGGAGGAACACCGAUGGCGAACGCAGCCCCCUGGGUCAAGAUUGACGCUCAUGCACGAAAGCGUGGGGAGCAAACAGGAUUAGAUACCCUGGUAGUCCACGCCCUAAACGAUGUCUACUAUUUGUCGGGUUUUAAUUAACUUGGUAACGCAGCUAACGCGUGAAGUACACCGCCUGGGGAGUACGGUUCGCAGAUUAAAACUCAAAGGAAUUGACGGGGACCCGCACAAGCGGUGGAUGAUGUGGAUUAAUUCGAUGCAACGCGAAAAACCUUACCUACCU